UACGGGGGGAGCAAGCGUUGUUCGGAUUUAUUGGGCGUAAAGAGCGCGCAGGCGGCUUGGUAAGUCGGAUGUGAAAACCCGAGGCUCAACCUCGGGCGUGCAUCCGAAACUGCUCGGCUAGAGGUAGGUAGGGGAGAUCGGAAUUCCUGGUGUAGCGGUGAAAUGCGCAGAUAUCAGGAGGAACACCGGUGGCGAAGGCGGAUCUCUGGGCCUUACCUGACGCUCAGGCGCGAAAGCUAGGGGAGCGAACUGG
RNAcentral lists this ribosomal RNA (253 nucleotides) under uncultured bacterium. RNAcentral's name for it is "partial 16S ribosomal RNA". It matches the Rfam family "Bacterial small subunit ribosomal RNA", at positions 524 to 776 of the family's 1533-position model. The record is from RNAcentral.